AUACGGAGGAUGCGAGCGUUAUCCGGAUUUAUUGGGUUUAAAGGGUGCGUAGGCGGCUUGGUAAGUCAGCGGUGAAAUUCAGAUGCUCAACAUCUGCCGUGCCGUUGAAACUGCCGGGCUUGAAUGCGGAUGCCGUGGGAGGAAUGUGUGGUGUAGCGGUGAAAUGCAUAGAUAUCACACAGAACACCGAUUGCGAAGGCAUCUCACGAAUCCGCGAUUGACGCUGAGGCACGAAAGUGCGGGGAUCAAACAGGAUUAGAUACCCUGGUAGUCCGCACAGUAAACGAUGAUGACUAACCGUCGGCGAUACACAGUCGGUGGCCAAGCGAAAGCGAUAAGUCAUCCACCUGGGGAGUACGACCGCAAGGUUGAAACUCAAAGGAAUUGACGGGG
This 393-nucleotide ribosomal RNA is filed under the name uncultured bacterium. RNAcentral describes it as "partial 16S ribosomal RNA". It matches the Rfam family "Bacterial small subunit ribosomal RNA", at positions 523 to 918 of the family's 1533-position model. The record is from RNAcentral.